CCUACGGGUGGCAGCAGUGAGGAAUAUUGGUCAAUGGACGAGAGUCUGAACCAGCCAAGUAGCGUGAAGGAUGACUGCCCUAUGGGUUGUAAACUUCUUUUAUAUGGGAAUAAAACGUUCCACGUGUGGGAUUUUGUAUGUAUAAUAUGAAUAAGGAUCGGCUAACUUCGUGCCAGCAGCCGCGGUAAUACGGAGGAUCCGAGCGUUAUCCGGAUUUAUUGGGUUUAAAGGGAGCGUAGGUGGAUUGUUAAGUCAGUUGUGAAAGUUUGCGGCUCAACAGUAAAAUUGCAGUUGAAACUGGCAGUCUUGAGUACAGUAGAGGAGGGCGGAAUUCGUGGUGUAGCGGUGAAAUGCUUAGAUAUCACGAAGAACUCCGAUUGCGAAGGCAGUUCACUGGACUGCAACUGACACUGAGGCUCGAAAGUGUGGGUAUCAAACAGGAUUAGAUACCCGAGUAGUC
RNAcentral lists this ribosomal RNA (460 nucleotides) under uncultured bacterium. Its description in RNAcentral is "partial 16S ribosomal RNA". It matches the Rfam family "Bacterial small subunit ribosomal RNA", at positions 338 to 795 of the family's 1533-position model. The record is from RNAcentral.